UUGGUUAAGUUAGAAAGGGCGCACGGUGGAUGCCUUGGCACUAGGAGCCGAAGAAGGACGGGACUAACACCGAUAUGCUUUGGGGAGCUGUACGUAAGCGUUGAUCCAGAGAUUUCCGAAUGGGGGAACCCACUAUCUUUAGUCGGAUAGUAUCCUUACGUGAAUACAUAGCGUGAGGAAGGCAGACCCAGGGAACUGAAACAUCUAAGUACCUGGAGGAAGAGAAAGAAAAAUCGAUUUCCUGAGUAGCGGCGAGCGAAACGGAAAGAGCCCAAACCAAGAAGCUUGCUUCUUGGGGUUGUAGGACACUCUAUACGGAGUUACAAAAGAAAGUUAUAAAUGAAGCGGUCUGGAAAGGCCCGCCAAAGACGGUAACAGCCCGGUAGUUGAAAUGGCUUUCCCUCCAGAGUGGAUCCUGAGUACGGCGGAACACGUGAAAUUCCGUCGGAAUCCGGGAGGACCAUCUCCCAAGGCUAAAUACUCCCUAGUGACCGAUAGUGAACCAGUACCGUGAGGGAAAGGUGAAAAGCACCCCGGAAGGGGAGUGAAACAGUUCCUGAAACCGUGUGCCUACAAGUAGUUAGAGCCCGUUAAUGGGUGAUAGCGUGCCUUUUGUAGAAUGAACCGGCGAGUUACGAUUUGUUGCAAGGUUAAGCGGAAAAAGCGGAGCCGUAGCGAAAGCGAGUCUGAAUAGGGCGCAUAAGUAACAGGUCGUAGACCCGAAACCAGGUGAUCUACCCAUGUCCAGGAUGAAGGUAAGGUAAUACUUACUGGAGGUCCGAACCCACGCACGUUGAAAAGUGCGGGGAUGAGGUGUGGGUAGCGGAGAAAUUCCAAUCGAACUUGGAGAUAGCUGGUUCUCUCCGAAAUAGCUUUAGGGCUAGCCUCGAGGUAAAGAGUCAUGGAGGUAGAGCACUGUUUGGACUAGGGGCCCUUCUCGGGUUACCGAAUUCAGAUAAACUCCGAAUGCCAUGUACUUAUACUCGGGAGUCAGACUGCGAGUGAUAAGAUCCGUAGUCGAAAGGGAAACAGCCCAGACCACCAGUUAAGGUCCCCAAAUAUAUGUUAAGUGGAAAAGGAUGUGGGGUUGCUUAGACAACCAGGAUGUUGGCUUAGAAGCAGCCACCAUUGAAAGAGUGCGUAAUAGCUCACUGGUCGAGUGACCCCGCGCCGAAAAUGUACCGGGGCUAAACAUAUUACCGAAACUGUGGAUGAACCUCUUUAGAGGUUCGUGGUAGGAGAGCGUUCUAAGGGCGGUGAAGUCAGACCGGAAGGACUGGUGGAGCGCUUAGAAGUGAGAAUGCCGGUAUGAGUAGCGAAAGAAGGGUGAGAAUCCCUUCCACCGAAUAUCUAAGGUUUCCUGAGGAAGGCUCGUCCGCUCAGGGUUAGUCGGGACCUAAGCCGAGGCCGAUAGGCGUAGGCGAUGGACAACAGGUAGAGAUUCCUGUACCAGUGCUAAUUGUUUAACCGAUGGGGUGACACAGAAGGAUAGGGAAUCGCACGAAUGGAAAUGUGCGUCCAAGCAGUGAGUGUGAGAAGUAGGCAAAUCCGCUUCUCGCGAAGCAUGAGCUGUGAUGGGGAAGGAAAUUAAGUACGGAAGUUCCUGAUUUCACGCU
This 1616-nucleotide ribosomal RNA is filed under the name Listeria monocytogenes. RNAcentral's name for it is "partial 23S ribosomal RNA". It matches the Rfam family "Bacterial large subunit ribosomal RNA", at positions 1 to 1606 of the family's 2925-position model. Lineage: Bacteria; Bacillati; Bacillota; Bacilli; Caryophanales; Listeriaceae. The record is from RNAcentral.